Molecule: long non-coding RNA, 2701 nt
Filed under: Marmota monax (woodchuck)
Lineage: Eukaryota; Metazoa; Chordata; Mammalia; Rodentia; Sciuridae
Rfam family: tRNA (bases 1189-1257)
Source: RNAcentral
GUAAAAUAAAGGCCCAUCGACAACUUAAACAAUAUAUUUUGUUAAAUUUAAUAGUUAUUUUCAGCCUUUCUUUCUUUCUCACAGUCUAGGUUCUUCCUGGACCGAGUCUGUGCAUUUAACUUUUUUUUUUCUUUUUUUGUAGCAGGGAUUUAAUCAGGGGUGCUUAUCCACUGAGCCAUAUCCAUAGCCCUUUUUUUAAUAUUUUAUUUUGAGAUAGAGUCUCACUAAGUAGCUCAGGGCCUCCCUGAGUUGCUGAGGCUGGCCUCCAAUUUGCGAUCCUCCUGCCUUAGCCUCCCGCCUUAGCCUCCCAAGUUCCUGGGCUCACAGGUGUGUGUCAUCACAGGUGGCUGCAUUUAACAUUUUAAAGUAUUUCCCUCUCAUAGCUCUUCUGGGCCUAGGUGUGUGUGUGUGCAAAAAUUGAAGUUCUUAUUAAAAUGAAAGAGGGAAGAAUUUUGCUUCUUUGCUUUCUGUCUUAGUCUAAUUCUUUUGUGUGUUUGCAGCAACAAGCACCAUGUUUUUCCAUUCCUCUUUCUGGAACCAGACCUAUAUUGAGGUUAAUACAAAAAGGAAGUCUCUUUUUGAGGGCCAGCGGUUGACAUUCCUUACAAGUCAUAAUAUAUUCCUUCUUCUUGGCUCAAGCAUGUUGAUUGCAAAGCUCAGAGUUAGGAAAUAGACACAGUGCCAUGACAGCGGUGACACAACAAGGUGAAAGUGUCUCUCCCUCAAAUGUGAAAGUCCAAGCUUUCCCAAUCACUCACCCUUUUUUUUUUGGUACAGAUCUCACUAAGUUGCUGAGGCUGGCCUCCACCUUGCAAUCCUCCUGCCUCAGCCUCCCAAGCCACUGGGAUUAGAGGCGUGCUCCACCACACCAGGCUUAAUGGCUGUUUUGAGAAAUCAUCACACAUUCAAGUAUCAUCUGUUUUGUCACUUCACCUCUUAGAAGUGGCCAUCAUUUAAAAAGUUUUAAAAUGGAUGACCACCACACCCAAUACCAGCCAUUGGGGAGGGGAGCAGCCCUGUUUUUGCAGUUCAGGAGAUCCAUCCCGGGGCUGCAUGCAUGCUUAACAAGCAUUCUACCACCGAGCAACAUCUGCAGUCUCACAACCCUCAUUUUUAAGAGUUUGACCUAGAAGUUGAUUCUCCACUGAGCAUCCACAUGUUCAGAUAGAAAUUGAGGGUCUUGGGGCUGGGGCUGUGGCUCAGUGGUAGAGCACUCGCCUAGCAUGUGUGAGGCACUGGGUUCCAUUCUCAGCACCACGUAGAAAUAAAUGAAUAAAGUAAAAGUCCAUCAACAUCCAAUUUUUUUUAAAUGAAUGAACAAAAUUAAGUAUCGUGUGCAUCUACAACUAAAAAAGAAAUUCUUUUUAAAAAAUUGAAAGGUCUUGCUGGGUGCAGGGGCGCACACCUGUAAUUCCAGCAACUCAGGAGUCUGAGGCAGGAGGAUUGCAAGCUGGAGGCCAGCCUCAUCAACUUAGCGAUUGAAAAAUAAUAAGACCUGGGGAUGUGGCUCAUUGGUAAACACUCCUGAGUUCAAUCCCUAGUAUCAGAAGCAAAAACAGUGGGUUGGGGUCAUAGCUCACCUCAUGUGCAAGACCCUGGGUUUGAUCCUCAGCACCACGUAAAAAAUAAAUAAAAUAAAAGUGCUGUGUCCAUCUGCAAUUAAAAAAAAACAUUUAAAAAAAUUUUGGGGUGGUCUUUGGCCUGGGAUCUGAGUAUAUGCUUAGCAUUUUGGAGACCCAGGGUUUUCUACCAGCAUAGGAAGAAAAUUAAAGUUCUUAUUACAAUGAAAGAGGUGAAGAAUUUAGCUUCUUUGCUUUUUUUGUCUAGUAUCUUUUGGGUUGAGGGGGCACCAGGGAUUGAACUCAGGGUCACUCGACCUCUGAGCCCCAUCUCCAGCCCUAUUUUGUAUUUUAUUUAGAGACAGGGUCUCACUGGGUUGCUUGGGGCCUUGCUUUGGCUGAGGCUGGCCUCCACCUUGCGAUCCUCCUGCCUCAGCCUCCCAAGUCGCUGGGAUGACAGGUGUGCACCACCACGCCUGGGAAAUUUUUUGUUUAUUGUGACACAAGAAAGUGCUCAGAAGAAAACCAAAGUGGAAAAAGAGGAUAGAGGUGAAGAUGGUCCCGUAGAGAUUAGAUGGUGAGGAGCAAUGCGGCUGAGGUGGUGAGAGGUCAGGAAGCUACAGAGUGCCCCAGGCAGGGAGGGGGGGAGAUGAGUUCUCUGAGGUGGAAUGUGCCUGGCCCAUUUGAGGAACAGUGUGUCAGGAUCAGGUUCCUGGAACUGAAAUCAGAGAGUGAGUGGAAACUAGAUCACGCAGAGCCCAGUAGGCAAGAGGAGGCUGGGGGCAGGUGUUGAGAGAGAGAGAGAUUUAUUGAUUGAUUGACUUUUGGUAUCAGAGGUUGAACCCAGAAGCACUUAACCACUGAGCCCCAUCCUCAGCCCUUUCUGGGAUUUUAUUUGGAGACGCGGUCUCUCUGAGUUGCUGAGGCUGGCCUCCGACUUGCCAUCCUCCUGCCUCAGCCUCCAGAGCUGCUUAGGAUUACAGGUGGGCACCUCCACGUAUCUGGCUGUGUCAGACCCUCUGUUCAAUCCCCAGUUCUGCAACAACAUCAGGGACAAAAGUCCCAAGUUCAAGGACAGCACAGACCCUCUCUCAAAAUAAACAGGAUGCAGGAUGUGGUGGAGCACACCUGUCACCCCAGUG